RNAcentral lists this ribosomal RNA (510 nucleotides) under uncultured bacterium. RNAcentral describes it as "partial 16S ribosomal RNA". It matches the Rfam family "Bacterial small subunit ribosomal RNA", at positions 27 to 507 of the family's 1533-position model. The record is from RNAcentral.
GGGGGGGGGGGGGGGGGGGGGGGGGGGGGGGGGGGCGGGGGGGGGGCGGUGGGGGCGUGCGGCGAGCGGGCUUAGGGGCGGACGGGUGAGUAACGCGGAAUCAACCUGCCCUUCAGAGGGGGACAACAGUUGGAGACGACUGCUAAUACCGCAUACGAUCCAAUCUCGGCAUCGGGACUGGAUGAAAGGUGGCCUCUAUUUAUAAGCUAUCACUGAAGGGGGGGAUUGCGUCUGAUUAGCUAGUUGGAGGGGUAACGGCCCACCAAGGCGAUGAUCAGUAGCCGGUCUGAGAGGAUGAACGGCCACAUUGGGACUGAGACACGGCCCAGACUCCUACGGGAGGCAGCAGUGGGGAAUCUUCCGCAAUGGACGAAAGUCUGACGGAGCAACGCCGCGUGAGUGAUGACGGCCUUCGGGUUGUAAAGCUCUGUUAAUCGGGACGAAUGGUUCUUGUGUGAAUAGUGCGAGGAUUUGACGGUACCGGAAUAGAAAGCCACGGCUAACUACGUG